GAGAAAUUUGUACUUGAAUUAUUGUUAUGGUCCAUUAAACUCACUCUAAAAACUUUAAUAUGUUUCUGCUUCAGAGACUUGUUUGUCCAUGUACAGCCAUGUAACCACACUAUUUACAAUGCCCAAAGAGCAAAUUGUUUGAUUCAGCUGCAGCAAUGGUCUUUCCACAGAGAAAGUUUGCAGUUUUCAACAGCCCUAAGUGCUGCAUUCUCCUAACUGAGGUAAAUACUCUGCAUUGUUUUCUUCCCAGGUGAUUCAAGCUGCAAGAUAGAUGACUAGGACUCAAAUACCGGAAAAGAGAGCUCCACAGAACUUUUUCUCCAAGUGUGUCACCGAGAAAUAGUCCUGAAAGCAGAAUACCCCAACUGGCACAAGAGAACCACUGAUUUGCUUCCUGUCACCACAGAUCGUGCACACUGAGGAAGACAGACAACAAAUAACUCUGCGGAUAGAUCAACAUAGUGAGGAACUGAGUUCUCCAAACAGCAGCUACAUGAGUGAGCCAUUCUGCAAAUGAAUCAUAAGCCCAGGCAAGCCUUUAUGUGACAACUGUUUGAAGAUAACCAUACAUAAAGACUUGAUCCAAAACCAUUCAACUAAAUCACUCCAGAUUCUUGACCCACCAAAAAAAAUGUGAGAUAAGUGUUUUGUUUUGUUCGAGUUGUUUUUUAUUUCUUUAAUUUUGGUAAUAUAUAUAUAACAAAAUUCACCAUUUUAGCCAUUUUUAAGUGUAUAAUUUAAUUGGCAUCUAGUACCCUGAUAUUUUUUUACUGCCAUCACCACCACCCAUCAAAAGAACUCUUUUCUUUUUAAUUUGAAAAGUAUUACUGUUAAUUUUACAUCAAAUGAUUCAUAAAAUUUACCAGUGCAGUCAUCUACUCCGGGCUUUUUUAUUUUUUUCCUUGAGAAGGUUUUGAUUACACAUUUAAUAUCUUUACUAAUUACAGGUUUAUUCAGAUUUUCUAUUUCUUCAUGACUUAUUCUUAGUAGAUUGCAUGUUUCUACAAAUUUGUCCAUUUCAUUAAGAUUAUCCAAUUUGUUGGCAUACAAUUGCUGGUAGUACUUUCUUAUAAUCCUUUUCAUUGAUGUAAAAUAAGUAGUAAUAUUCCCUCUUUUAUUUCUAAUUUUAGUUAUUUGAAUCUUCUUUUCUUCCCUUAGUUUGUUUAGCUAACGGUUGUCAACAUUCUUGCUCUUUUCAAAGAACCAGUUAUUGGUUUUGUUGAAUUUCUCUA
This 1232-nucleotide long non-coding RNA is filed under the name Homo sapiens (human). Its description in RNAcentral is "HSALNT0351537". The record is from RNAcentral. Lineage: Eukaryota; Metazoa; Chordata; Mammalia; Primates; Hominidae.